This is a long non-coding RNA of Mytilus californianus (California mussel), 241 nucleotides long. RefSeq lists it as uncharacterized. Lineage: Eukaryota; Metazoa; Mollusca; Bivalvia; Mytilida; Mytilidae. The transcript is spliced from 3 exons. The record is from RefSeq and is a predicted model, not a curated record.
UGUUCAUUCUCAAGAUAGCUGUCCUUGUCCUGCGGUUGUGGAUCCAGUUUGCUCCACAACUAAUGAGACUCAUGAUAAUGAAUGUAUCCUAAUUUGCGCUAAUCAAGUUUUAGCUUGCCGUCGUGAAUGUCCAUGCGAGACAGUUUCUGUGAUUGCAACAGCAUCACCACACGGCUAAGUGGGAUGGAAUAAUACAUUUUAUAUAUAUUUCAAAAAAUUCAAAGAAUAAAAUAUUUUCAUA